UACGAAGGGGGCGAGCGUUGUUCGGAGUUACUGGGCGUAAAGGGCGCGUAGGCGGCGAUCCAAGUUAGGCGUGAAAGCCCCGGGCUUAACCUGGGAAUUGCGCUUAAGACUGGACUGCUUGAGUGCGGGAGAGGUGAGUGGAAUUCCCAGUGUAGAGGUGAAAUUCGUAGAUAUUGGGAAGAACACCAGUGGCGAAGGCGGCUCACUGGCCCGAAACUGACGCUGAGGCGCGAAAGCGUGGGGAGCGAACAGG
RNAcentral lists this ribosomal RNA (253 nucleotides) under uncultured bacterium. RNAcentral's name for it is "partial 16S ribosomal RNA". It matches the Rfam family "Bacterial small subunit ribosomal RNA", at positions 524 to 776 of the family's 1533-position model. The record is from RNAcentral.